RNAcentral lists this small RNA (486 nucleotides) under Phoma sp. B85-7. RNAcentral's name for it is "eukaryotic LSU rRNA". The stretch from base 136 to 289 matches the Rfam family "5.8S ribosomal RNA". The record is from RNAcentral. Lineage: Eukaryota; Fungi; Ascomycota; Dothideomycetes; Pleosporales; Didymellaceae.
AGUUGCGGGCUUUGCCUGCCAUCUCUUACCCAUGUCUUUUGAGUACCUUACGUUUCCUCGGCGGGUCCGCCCGCCGACUGGACAAUUUAAACCACUUGCAGUUGCAAUCAGCGUCUGAAAAAACUUAAUAGUUACAACUUUCAACAACGGAUCUCUUGGUUCUGGCAUCGAUGAAGAACGCAGCGAAAUGCGAUAAGUAGUGUGAAUUGCAGAAUUCAGUGAAUCAUCGAAUCUUUGAACGCACAUUGCGCCCCUUGGUAUUCCAUGGGGCAUGCCUGUUCGAGCGUCAUUUGUACCUUCAAGCCUUGCUUGGUGUUGGGUGUUUGUCUCGCCUCUGCGCGUAGACUCGCCUCAAAACAAUUGGCAGCCGGCGUAUUGAUUUCGGAGCGCAGUACAUCUCGCGCUUUGCACUCAGAACGACGACGUCCAAAAGUACAUUUUUACACUCUUGACCUCGGAUCAGGUAGGGAUACCCGCUGAACUUAA